CCUACGGGAGGCAGCAGUGGGGAAUAUUGCGCAAUGGGCGAAAGCCUGACGCAGCGACGCCGCGUGAGGGAUGAAGGUCUUCGGAUCGUAAACCUCUGUCAGCAGGGAUGAACGGUCACUGUGCUAAUCAGCAGUGAAUUGACGGUACCUGCAAAGGAAGCACCGGCUAACUCCGUGCCAGCAGCCGCGGUAAUACGGAGGGUGCGAGCGUUAAUCGGAAUUACUGGGCGUAAAGCGCUCGUAGGCGGUAUGUCAAGUCAAGGGUGAAAUCCCCGCGCUCAACGUGGGAACUGCCUUUGAAACUGGCAAACUGGAGUGGGUGAGAGGAUAGUGGAAUGCCAGGUGUAGGAGUGAAAUGCGUAGAUAUCUGGAGGAACAUCAGUGGCGAAGGCGACUAUCUGGCACAUAACUGACGCUGAGGAGCGAAAGCGUGGGUAGCAAACAGGAUUAGAUACCCUUGUAGUC
This 465-nucleotide ribosomal RNA is filed under the name uncultured bacterium. RNAcentral describes it as "partial 16S ribosomal RNA". It matches the Rfam family "Bacterial small subunit ribosomal RNA", at positions 338 to 795 of the family's 1533-position model. The record is from RNAcentral.